RNAcentral lists this ribosomal RNA (465 nucleotides) under uncultured bacterium. Its description in RNAcentral is "partial 16S ribosomal RNA". It matches the Rfam family "Bacterial small subunit ribosomal RNA", at positions 338 to 795 of the family's 1533-position model. The record is from RNAcentral.
CCUACGGGCGGCAGCAGUAGGGAAUCUUCCACAAUGGGCGAAAGCCUGAUGGAGCAACGCCGCGUGGGUGAAGAAGGUCUUCGGAUCGUAAAACCCUGUUGUUAGAGAAGAAAGUGCGUGAGAGUAACUGUUCACGUUUCGACGGUAUCUAAACAGAAAGCCACGGCUAACUACGUACCAGCCGCCGCGGUAAUAAGUAGGUGGCAAGCGUUAUCCGGAUUUAUUGGGAUUAAAGGGAAAGCCGGCGGGCUUUUAAGUCUGAUGUGAAAGCCUUCGGCUUAACCGGAGCAGUGCAGUGGAAACUGGGAGACUUGAGUGCAGAAGAGGAGAGUGGAACUCCAUGUGUAGCGGUGAAAUGCGUAGAUAUAUGGAAGAACACCAGUGGCGAAAGCGGCUCUCUGGUCUGUAACUGACGCUGAGGUUCGAAAGCGUGGGUAGCAAACAGGAUUAGAUACCCUGGUAGUC